GUGGUGUUUGGUUUGUUACGGGUGGUUGGCUGUAUGCUCGCGCAACAACUUCCACCUGGCUUACCUAUUCAGUUAUACGCCAAGGCUUGUAUCGCCAUGAGCGUAUUGUGGGUUUCCUGUGUUGCAUACCUAAUCAAUGGUACCGAUUUGACUGAUUGACGUCCCUUUCGUCUUGGGCGGCACUUGUGGCCUGGGAUGAACUUUGAUGCGUCUCUUUGAUCCACUCAUCAGAUGCACAUGCGUUGAUUGUUUGGCUCAUUGGGUAUCGCUUGGUCUCUUGUAUAUGGAACCUAAUGUGGGCAUGGGGUCGCAUGAUCCUCUUUUUGCCCUCCUUGAGCGUUGUCGCUUCUCUAAAACUGAUCCAUUCGUGCCUAGGCUGAAACCCUGUGCGGUGGUGUAUGUUUAGAGCAACGA
Molecule: unclassified non-coding RNA, 414 nt
Filed under: Abrotanella muscosa
Lineage: Eukaryota; Viridiplantae; Streptophyta; Magnoliopsida; Asterales; Asteraceae
Description: partial external transcribed spacer
Source: RNAcentral